AGCGAACGCUAGCGGCAGGCUUAACACAUGCAAGUCGAGCGCCAGGUUUCGGCCUGGAGCGGCGAACGGGUGAGUAACACGUAGGUCACGUACCCUAUGGUGGGGAAUACCCCGGGGAAACUCGGAUCAAUGCCCCAUAUGUCCGAAAGGAUGAAAGCGCUUCGGCGCGCCAGAGGAUCGGCCUGCGGCCCAUUAUUUAAUCCUAGUUGGUGAGGUAACGGCUCACCAAGGGUACGAUGGGUAGCUGGUCUGAGAGGACGAUCAGCCACACUGGAACUGAGACACGGUCCAGACUCCUACGGGAGGCAGCAGUGGGGAAUAUUGGACAAUGGGCGAAAGCCUGAUCCAGCCAUGCCGCGUGAGUGAUGAAGGCCUUCGGGUUGUAAAGCUCAGUCGUGGGGGAAGAAGUUCUGACGGUACCCCACAAGAAAGCACCGGCUAACUCCGUGCCAGCAGCCGCCGCGG
RNAcentral lists this ribosomal RNA (465 nucleotides) under uncultured bacterium. RNAcentral's name for it is "partial 16S ribosomal RNA". It matches the Rfam family "Bacterial small subunit ribosomal RNA", at positions 29 to 523 of the family's 1533-position model. The record is from RNAcentral.